GCUGGGCACAGUGGCGCAUGCCUGUAAUCCCAGCAGCUUGGGAGGCUGAGGCAGGAGGAUCAGGAGUUCAAAGCCAGCCCCAGCAAAAGCAAGGUGCUGAGCAACUCAGUGAGACCCUGUCUCUA
This 125-nucleotide small RNA is filed under the name Marmota monax (woodchuck). The record is from RNAcentral. Lineage: Eukaryota; Metazoa; Chordata; Mammalia; Rodentia; Sciuridae.